CCGGACGUAGCGCAGAGGUCGUCGCACCGCCAUGCCAUGGCGGGAGACGCCGGUUCGAAUCCGGCCGUCCGGG
RNAcentral lists this transfer RNA (73 nucleotides) under Streptomyces bambusae. Its description in RNAcentral is "tRNA-Gly". It matches the Rfam family "tRNA". From Rfam's summary of the family: Transfer RNA (tRNA) molecules are approximately 80 nucleotides in length. Their secondary structure includes four short double-helical elements and three loops (D, anti-codon, and T loops). The record is from RNAcentral. Lineage: Bacteria; Bacillati; Actinomycetota; Actinomycetes; Kitasatosporales; Streptomycetaceae.